Long non-coding RNA from Spinacia oleracea (spinach), 1553 nucleotides. RefSeq lists it as uncharacterized. Lineage: Eukaryota; Viridiplantae; Streptophyta; Magnoliopsida; Caryophyllales; Amaranthaceae. The transcript has 2 exons. The record is from RefSeq and is a predicted model, not a curated record.
UCGACAAAAAAAAAUCCCAAAAAUUUUCAAAAAUGUAUUUUACCGACCAAUGAUGUAGUCAGUAUUUUUUAAAAAAUAAAAUAAAAGUUACUACCGGCUACUACAUUUGUCGGAAUUUUCUAAGAAUACCGACUAAUAUAGUAGUCGGUGUUUUUUGUAAAUUAAAAACAAAUGGGCUUUGGAAUUUUCUAAGAAUACCGACUAAUGUACGCACAAGAAACAAACUACUACUAAACCUAACCCUUACCGACCGCUUUAAACCCUAAAAACUAUCCCUCCUGGCUCCUUCCUCAUUGCGCCCCCCUUCUCUUUUAUCUCUCAUCAGAUUUCCUCCUUCACCUCCAUCUCUCUCUCUCAUCACUCUUCCUCUUCUGUUUGGAUUUCGAACUCUAAUGCGAAAUUGGCGAUUGUCUUCUCAAAUCCUCAAGCAAUAAUUUUGGAUUCAGAUACCGCAUAUCUCAAAUCCUUUUUUCUUCUUCUUGUGUUCCUGAAUUCAAUCAAAGAAUAGGUUUUGAAAUUUACUUUUUUCCUAGAUUAAUUGGGAAAUUGUGACCAUUUAUUCAUCCGGGUAUGCGAAAUGGAUGGGAAUCUCAAGUGUUAGCCAAGGGUCUCAAAUGCUCAACAAUGAAUUAACUUGAAAUUCCUCUUUUCCACCUUAUCUUUCGUUUAAUUUCUUAUUUUUUUAAUUUGGUAUAUCUGAAUUUUGAUUUAUAUGUGAUUGUAGGUGAAUAUCUCACGUUUUCAAUCAAGUUUUUGAAGUGGGGAGAUCCAACAAAUUUUAAGUACAGAGAAGAAUUGAAGUUUGUACACAUGUCUACCUUUUUUAGGUGAAUUAAGGAUGUAUUUUUUUUUUGGUGCGUCGAGGGCAGCAACACUCGGCAGGGCCGCGAGGCGACGAGGAGAGAGGGCGCGGGACGCAUGCACAAAGGUGGCAGGGCGCGCUGCGCCGAAGGAAAGAGAGUAAGAGGGAGUGCACGAGUGUGAGAGAGACCAAGGUGCGUGGCUGGCGAGAGGAAGCAGCGAGCAAAGGAGAGGGUGAGGUCGUCGAGUGCAGGGAAGCACGAGGAAGGUGCUCGGCUAGGCAGGCGACGUAAAGAGAAGGCAAAGAAAAAGAGAGGAGAGACAAAGAAGAAAUACUGCUGCAGGAUUUUAGAACGCCGGUAACUCCUAAUAUAGAACGCCGGUAACUCCUAAUAUAUAACUCGAAAUCAAUCUACUCUUGAGGAGAAGUUCAAGAUCUACAACCGUGAAGAAGAAACUUUUGUCUGAAAUCGAACUUAAAUAGGAGAAUAAAGGCCAAAUAGAAGUUCGACAAAAGAAAGGGAGAUUUAGGGUUAGGGUUUUACUUUUGGGUUUAAUGAAUAACUAGUGUUUGGCCCGGGCGAUGCUCCGGUUGAUACUUUGAAUAAUUAAAUUUUGAGAUUUUUCGUCAGAUCUAUAUGUUUGACCAAAAUACAUGUAGUCCAUGCAUAAAAGUGAAAAGAUUCAUUAAAUUAAUCAACUACACAUGUACACCACGUACUCAUUUAUCAUGCGAAGUAAUUUUUCAAUUA